Non-coding RNA from Acanthosepion pharaonis, 108 nucleotides. The record is from the annotation of a GenBank genome assembly. Lineage: Eukaryota; Metazoa; Mollusca; Cephalopoda; Sepiida; Sepiidae.
AUGGCUAUAUCACGUUGAAACACCGGUUCUCGUACGAUCACCUAAGUUAAACAACAUCGAGCCUGGUUAGUAAAUAGAUGGGUGACUACUUGGGAAUACCAAGUGCUA